GACGAACGCUGGCGGCGUGCCUAAUACAUGCAAGUAGAACGCUGAAGGAGGAGCUUGCUUCUCUGGAUGAGUUGCGAACGGGUGAGUAACGCGUAGGUAACCUGCCUUGUAGCGGGGGAUAACUAUUGGAAACGAUAGCUAAUACCGCAUAAUAGUAGAUGUUGCAUGACAUUUGCUUAAAAGGUGCAAUUGCCUCACUACCAGAUGGACCUGCGUUGUAUUAGCUAGUUGGUGGGGUAACGGCUCACCAAGGCGACGAUACAUAGCCGACCUGAGAGGGUGAUCGGCCACACUGGGACUGAGACACGGCCCAGACUCCUACGGGAGGCAGCAGUAGGGAAUCUUCGGCAAUGGACGGAAGUCUGACCGAGCAACGCCGCGUGAGUGAAGAAGGUUUUCGGAUCGUAAAGCUCUGUUGUAAGAGAAGAACGAGUGUGAGAGUGGAAAGUUCACACUGUGACGGUAUCUUACCAGAAAGGGACGGCUAACUACGU
RNAcentral lists this ribosomal RNA (494 nucleotides) under uncultured bacterium. Its description in RNAcentral is "partial 16S ribosomal RNA". It matches the Rfam family "Bacterial small subunit ribosomal RNA", at positions 28 to 506 of the family's 1533-position model. The record is from RNAcentral.